AAUGUACAUGCCCUUGACCGGAAUUGAACCCGGGACCUUUCAGUCCGCAGGCCAACGCUCUAUCCAUUGAGCCAAACCGGUUUCGGCUUGUAUAUAUCUUACCAUUACUUACCCCCCCCCCCCCCACUCCCAUACAUGCCCUCCCUCCCCAGAGUUUUUUGUCCAUUAUCCACCAACAGUAAGAGAAGCUUUGCAGUCAAGAGAUGUUGUUUAACAGAUGGAGUGGUUUCUGUUGGACACUAAGUACUGCUACAAAU
Molecule: non-coding RNA, 257 nt
Organism: Pipistrellus kuhlii (Kuhl's pipistrelle)
Lineage: Eukaryota; Metazoa; Chordata; Mammalia; Chiroptera; Vespertilionidae
Source: RefSeq, a predicted model, not a curated record